Molecule: long non-coding RNA, 456 nt
Organism: Eublepharis macularius
Lineage: Eukaryota; Metazoa; Chordata; Lepidosauria; Squamata; Eublepharidae
Exons: 4
Source: RefSeq, a predicted model, not a curated record
GGACGUUUGUCUCCCUGCCUUAGAGCCGUUUGCCUUUUGAAUGCGGUUUGAAUUGCUGGGCUACAUGUGAGCCUGUCUGGAGAUGGAUCAGAAGAAAGAAGCUCUUGCUGUACAAGAAAAGCCUGACCUUGAAAAGAAGAGAAGAGAAGGGAAGCGGAAGCCUUGCUUCAAAGCAUGGCUUUAACUCCUGCUGCUCCUACGGAUGGAUCAGAGGAAAGAAGCUCUUGCUGUACAAGAAAAGCCUGACCUUGAAAAGAAGAGAAGGGAAGCAGAAGCCUUGCUUCAAAGCAUGGCUUUAACUCCUGCUGCUCCUAUGGGAUCCUGCAGGUGAGAAGAGGACUGUGUACGGCAGCGCAUCUUCUUUGUGUCACCAGCUUGUUUGACACCAGAGCGUGUGGCAUUUGAAGUCUGAACUCAGCUACCCCCUGGAAACCGUGCCGUGAGAUGUUUUCCACU